This is a microRNA precursor of Equus caballus (horse), 145 nucleotides long. The record is from Ensembl. NCBI's taxonomy places the organism in Eukaryota, Metazoa, Chordata, Mammalia, Perissodactyla, Equidae.
UUCCCGGCUCUACUGACCUUUGGGUGCUUGCUUUGGGUAGUGAGAGCUCUCAUUUGUCCUGGGGUAGUUGCAGGUUUAUAGGCUACCCCAGUCUUCAGAUACAUGAGGCCUUUUUGCUCUGUGGUCCCAUAGUCCUGUAGAUGUG